RNAcentral lists this non-coding RNA (433 nucleotides) under Lasius niger. RNAcentral's name for it is "Eukaryotic small subunit ribosomal RNA". It matches the Rfam family "Eukaryotic small subunit ribosomal RNA", at positions 1 to 428 of the family's 1831-position model. Lineage: Eukaryota; Metazoa; Arthropoda; Insecta; Hymenoptera; Formicidae. The record is from Rfam by way of RNAcentral.
UACCUGGUUGAUCCUGCCAGUAGUCAUAUGCUUGUCUCAAAGAUUAAGCCAUGCAUGUCUAAGUACAUGCCGUAUCAAGGCGAAACCGCGAAUGGCUCAUUAAAUCAGUUAUGGUUCCUUGGAUCGUACUUUACUACUUGGAUAACUGUGGCAAUUCUAGAGCUAAUACAUGCAGCAGAGCUCCGACCUUCGGGGACGAGCGCUUUUAUUAGAACAAAACCCAUCGGACCUCGUGUCCGUCUCUUGUGGUGACUCUGUAUAACUUUGGGCUGAUCGCACGGGCCUGUCCCGGCGACGUAUCCUUCAAGUGUCUGCCUUAUCAACUUUCGAUGGUAGGUUACGCGCCUACCAUGGUCGUAACGGGUAACGGGGAAUCAGGGUUCGAUUCCGGAGAGGGAGCCUGAGAAACGGCUACCACAUCCAAGGAAGGCAG